GAUGAACGCUGGCGGCGUGCCUAAUACAUGCAAGUCGAGCGAACAGAUGAGGAGCUUGCUCCUCUGACGUUAGCGGCGGACGGGUGAGUAACACGUGGAUAACCUACCUAUAAGACUGGGGUAACUUCGGGAAACCGGAGCUAAUACCGGAUAAUAUAUUGAACCGCAUGGUUCAAUAGUGAAAGACGGUUUUGCUGUCACUUAUAGAUGGAUCCGCGCCGCGUUAGCUAGUUGGUAAGGUAACGGCUUACCAAGGCAACGAUGCGUAGCCGACCUGAGAGGGGGAUCGGCCACACUGGAACUGAGACACGGUCCAGACUCCUACGGGAGGCAGCAGUAGGGAAUCUUCCGCAAUGGGCGAAAGCCUGACGGAGCAACGCCGCGUGAGUGAUGAAGGUCUUCGGAUCGUAAAACUCUGUUAUUAGGGAAGAACAAAUGUGUAAGUAACUAUGCACGUCUUGACGGUACCUAAUCAGAAAGCCACGGCUAACUACGUG
RNAcentral lists this ribosomal RNA (497 nucleotides) under uncultured bacterium. RNAcentral's name for it is "partial 16S ribosomal RNA". It matches the Rfam family "Bacterial small subunit ribosomal RNA", at positions 28 to 507 of the family's 1533-position model. The record is from RNAcentral.